GAACUCCAGUGUGAGAGCGAGAUAAGCACUCCAUGUUUGCAAUAUUCUAUGGGAAAUGCUAAAACAGAGAUUACAAAAAUAAUAGAGGAGAGGGGAAAGUAGGAGUGUGUAUGAGAGCCAGAGAGAUAAGCAGGAUGAAGCGUGUUGCAAGAGAAAACAGCAGGGCUUACGCACAGUGUUUGGGGGAUGACACAAGAGGCCCUGACAAGAUACUUUUUAUCAGCUUGAAGAAGAGGGGGCAUUUAUCUUGACAGACUAAUUACCCGCUUUGAGUUAGAUAUUGUUCCGUCUAU
Molecule: long non-coding RNA, 293 nt
Filed under: Homo sapiens (human)
Lineage: Eukaryota; Metazoa; Chordata; Mammalia; Primates; Hominidae
Description: HSALNT0114166
Source: RNAcentral